UUAAUUUAAAAUUUGAUUGGAUUAAUCCAAACCCAAAUUUCUCACCCAAAUGGAUGACAUACAAUUAACAACCUACAUCGCACUAAAUACAACUCCAAAGGCGCAUAAUAAAAAAAAUAAUGCUUAAAAAAUAACUCAUGUGAUCGCUUAAAAGAUUAGAUGACUUUCGCGAAGUUCUUCAGAAAAAAAAAAAAAAAUGCACCCUGCGCCACGUGCUUUAAUAAAAACCGCGUGACAAGUACCAAACUUAAACUCAGGAAAUAAACAACAUCAGUUUAAAAUAAAGAGAGCAAAUUGAACUCAAAGAAUACAAAAAUAAGAAUAAAGUACAAAAUUGAAUUCUAAAGAAUAUGAAAAUAAGAAUAAAAUGUAGUAAGAUUUAAUCUCGCGCUUUAAAAUAAUAAUAAUCUCAUGCCAAACUUUGAGUUUUUGUCUAUAAAUAGAGGCCCAAAUAAGAGAGAAAUGGCAGGUGCUAUUUAGUUAAGACCAUAAAUUGUUUGUGUUGGAAAUAAGAGAUUUUGAAAUUCAACUCCUACUUAUAUAAGUGAAGACGAGAUUAGGUUGCCGUCAGAUUAAAUAAUAAAAAAAAAGAGAGAGAGCGAAAGAGAGAGAAAUAAAUCUUUAUCCAAAUACUUAGACUAAUUUUGAUCAACUUCUUGUCAAAAUACCAAAACAAGCCUCCUGAAUCCUCUGUUUCUUCUAGUAAAAAAUCUCACAAAUUGAACUAUCUUUUACGAAUACCAUGCCUAAAGCUCAACCAAUGAAGUUCCUUAACCAAAUCAAGGAAAAAGAAGAAUUUAAUCCAACUCAUUGAUAUAUAAUAUAUAUUUUUCCUUGGUAAUCUUAAAAUUAAAAGUAUAUUAAUCACUUCUGAACUAUUCACUCAGACCUUAAAAAAAAUUCUUACCGAUACCUUCGGCCAUGGAAAUUCUCUGAGUCCUUGACCAAUAUUCUGCAUUUGAAAUUAAUUUUUCUCCGGACCCUCUUAGCA
Molecule: long non-coding RNA, 991 nt
Filed under: Citrus maxima (pomelo)
Lineage: Eukaryota; Viridiplantae; Streptophyta; Magnoliopsida; Sapindales; Rutaceae
Description: long non-coding RNA (CMAX_LNC003288)
Source: RNAcentral